RNAcentral lists this ribosomal RNA (541 nucleotides) under uncultured bacterium. Its description in RNAcentral is "bacterial SSU rRNA". It matches the Rfam family "Bacterial small subunit ribosomal RNA", at positions 777 to 1318 of the family's 1533-position model. The record is from RNAcentral.
AAUAGAUACCCCGGUAGUCCACGCCGUAAACGUUGGAUACUAGGUGUGGCGGUCUUACCAACGACUGCCGUGCCGAAGCUAACGCAUUAAGUAUCCCGCCUGGGGAGUACGGCCGCAAGGCUAAAACUCAAAGGAAUUGACGGGUCCCCGCACAAGCGGCGGAGCAUGCGGCUUAAUUCGAUGCAACCCGAAGAACCUUACCUGGGUUUGACAUCACGGGAAAAGCUGUAGAAAUACAGUGUCCAUUAGGGCCCGUGACAGGUGGUGCAUGGCUGUCGUCAGCUCGUGUCGUGAGAUGUUGGGUUAAGUCCCGCAACGAGCGCAACCCUUGUCCUAUGUUGCCAGCGGUUCGGCCAGGGACUCAUAGGAGACUGCCGGGGAUAACUCGGAGGAAGGUGAGGACGACGUCAAGUCAUCAUGCCCCUUAUAUCCAGGGCUGCACGCAUGCUACAAUGGCCGGUACAACGGGCAGCGAUCCCGCGAGGGUGAGCGAAUCCUAAAAAGCCGGUCCUAGUUCGGAUUGAAGUCUGCAACUCGACUU